Molecule: ribosomal RNA, 1428 nt
Filed under: uncultured organism
Description: partial small subunit ribosomal RNA
Rfam family: Bacterial small subunit ribosomal RNA
Source: RNAcentral
CGUGGUUAACACAUGCAAGUCGAACGGAAAGGCCCUGCUUUUGUGGGGCGCUCGAGUGGCGAACGGGUGAGUAACACGUGAGUAACCUGCCCUUGACUUUGGGAUAACUUCAGGAAACUGGGGCUAAUACCGGAUAGGAGCUCCUGCUGCAUGGUGGGGGUUGGAAAGUUUCGGCGGUUGGGGAUGGACUCGCGGCUUAUCAGCUUGUUGGUGGGGUAGUGGCUUACCAAGGCUUUGACGGGUAGCCGGCCUGAGAGGGUGACCGGCCACAUUGGGACUGAGAUACGGCCCAGACUCCUACGGGAGGCAGCAGUGGGGAAUAUUGCACAAUGGGCGGAAGCCUGAUGCAGCAACGCCGCGUGCGGGAUGACGGCCUUCGGGUUGUAAACCGCUUUCGCCUGUGACGAAGCGUGAGUGACGGUAAUGGGUAAAGAAGCACCGGCUAACUACGUGCCAGCAGCCGCGGUGAUACGUAGGGUGCGAGCGUUGUCCGGAUUUAUUGGGCGUAAAGGGCUCGUAGGUGGUUGAUCGCGUCGGAAGUGUAAUCUUGGGGCUUAACCCUGAGCGUGCUUUCGAUACGGGUUGACUUGAGGAAGGUAGGGGAGAAUGGAAUUCCUGGUGGAGCGGUGGAAUGCGCAGAUAUCAGGAGGAACACCAGUGGCGAAGGCGGUUCUCUGGGCCUUUCCUGACGCUGAGGAGCGAAAGCGUGGGGAGCGAACAGGCUUAGAUACCCUGGUAGUCCACGCUGUAAACGGUGGGUACUAGGUGUGGGGUCCAUUCCACGGGUUCCGUGCCGUAGCUAACGCUUUAAGUACCCCGCCUGGGGAGUACGGCCGCAAGGCUAAAACUCAAAGGAAUUGACGGGGCCCCGCACAAGCGGCGGAGCAUGCGGAUUAAUUCGAUGCAACGCGUAGAACCUUACCUGGGUUUGACAUGGAUCGGGAGUGCUCAGAGAUGGGUGUGCCUCUUUUGGGGUCGGUUCACAGGUGGUGCAUGGCUGUCGUCAGCUCGUGUCGUGAGAUGUUGGGUUAAGUCCCGCAACGAGCGCAACCCUUGUUCACUGUUGCCAGCACGUUAUGGUGGGGACUCAGUGGAGACCGCCGGGGUCAACUCGGAGGAAGGUGGGGAUGACGUCAAGUCAUCAUGCCCCUUAUGUCCAGGGCUUCACGCAUGCUACAAUGGCUGGUACAGAGAGUGGCGAGCCUGUGAGGGUGAGCGAAUCUCGGAAAGCCGGUCUCAGUUCGGAUUGGGGUCUGCAACUCGACCUCAUGAAGUCGGAGUCGCUAGUAAUCGCAGAUCAGCAACGCUGCGGUGAAUACGUUCCCGGGGCUUGUACACACCGCCCGUCAAGUCAUGAAAGUUGGUAACACCCGAAGCCGGUGGCCUAACCGUUGUGGGGGAGCCGUCGAAGGUGGGACUGGUGAUUAG